GCUUCACCAAGAUCCAUCUAUGAGUUCAUCUAAGCAACGAGUAACGGGAGAGAGUUUGCAUCUACAUACCACUUGUAGAUCGCGUGCGGAAGCUUGCAAGGUGAUGAUGGAGUCGUACUCGAACGUGAUUCAGAUCACCGAUGUCCAAGUGCUGAACGGACAGCACCUCCGCGUUCAACACACGUACGGGACGAGCGACGUCUCCUCCGUCUUGAUCCAGCAAGGAGGAAGGAGAGGUUGAGGAAGACAACUCCACCGGCAGCACGACGGUGUGGUGAUGGUGGAGAAGCAGUACUCCGACAGGGCUUCGCCGAGCUCUUACGGAGGAGGAGAAGUGUUGGGGAGGGGAGGGGCUGCGCCUUGGAGAUGGGUACAGCAGCCCCCCUCCCUCCCCCCCUUUAUAUAGGCCCCCUGGGGGGGUGGCCGGCCCCUGGAGAUCCAAUCUCCAGGGGGCGGCGGCCAAGGGGGGUGGAGUGCCCCCCAAGCCAGGUGGGGCGCCCCCCCACCCCUAGGGUUUCAACCCUAGGCGCAAGGGGUGGGCCUAGGGGGCGCACCAGCCCCCUGUGGGCUGGUUCCCUUCCCCCUUUGGCCCAUGGGGCCCUCCGGGAUAGGUGGCCCCACCCGGUGGACCCCCGGAACCCUUCCGGUGGUCCCGGUACUUUACCGGGAGACCCCGAAACUUUCCCGAUGGCCGAAUCACCACUUCCUAUAUAUUAUUCUUUACCUCCGGACCCUUCCGGAACUCCUCGUGACGUCCGGGAUCUCAUCCGGGACUCCGAACAACAUUCGGUAGUCACAUACUGGACUUCCUACUAACCCUAGCGUCACCGAACCUUAAGUGUGUAGACCCUACGGGUUCGGGAGACACGCAGACAUGACCGAGACGACUCUCGGGCAAUAACCAACAGCGGGGUCUGGAUACCCAUGUUGGCUCCCACAUGCUCCUCGAUGAUUUCAUCGGUUGAACCACGAUGUCGAGGAUUCGAUCAAACCCUGUAUGCAAUUCCCUUUGUCAAUCGGUACGUUACUUGCCCGAGACUCGAUCGUCGGUAUCCCAAUACCUUGUUCAAUCUCGUUACCGGCAAGUCACUUUACUCGUACCGUAAUGCAUGAUCCCGUGGCCAACACCUUGGUCAACUUGAGCUCAUUAUGAUGAUGCAUUACCGAGUGGGCCCAGAGAUACCUCUCCGUCAUACGGAGUGACAAAUCCCAGUCUCGAUCCGUGUCAACCCAACAGAUACUUUCGGAGAUACCUGUAAUGCACCUUUAUAGUCACCCAGUUACGUUGUGACGUUUGAUACACCCAAGGCACUCCUACGGUAACCGGGAGUUACACGAUCUCAUGGUCGAAGGAAGAGAUACUUGACAUUCGCAAAGCUCUAGCAAACGAACUACACGAUCUUUUAUGCUAUGCUUAGGAUUGGGUCUUGUCCAUCACAUCAUUCUCCUAAUGAUGUGAUCUCGUUAUCAACGACAUCCAAUGUCCAUAGUCAGGAAACCAUGACUAUCUAUUGAUCACAACGAGCUAGUCAACUAGAGGCUCACUAGGGACAUUUGUGGUCUUCGUGUUCACACGUGUAUUACGAUUUCCGGAUAAUACAGUUAUAGCAUGAACAAAAGACAAUUAUCAUGAACAUUGAAAUAUAAUAAUACUUUUAUUAUUGCCUCUAGGGCAUAUUUCCAACAGUCUCCCACUUGCACUAGAGUCACCAAUCUAGUUACAUUGUGAUGAAUCGAACACCCAUAGAGUUCUGGUGUUGAUCAUGUUUUGCACGCGAGAGAGGUUUAGUCAACGGAUCUGCGACAUUCAGAUCCGUGUGUACUUUGCAAAUCUCUAUGUCUCCAUCUUGAACAUUUUCACGGAUGGAGUUGAAACGACGCUUGAUGUGCCUGGUCUUCUUGUGAAACCUGGGCUCCUUGGCAAGGGCAAUAGCUCCAGUGUUGUCACAGAAGAGUUUGAUCGGCCCCGACGCGUUGGGUAUGACUCCAAGGUCGGUGAUGAACUCCUUCACCCAAAUCGCUUCAUGCCCUGCCUCCGAGGCUGCCAUGUACUCCGCUUCACACGUAGAUCCCGCCACGACGCUCUGUUUGCAGCUGCACCAGCUUACUGCUCCACCAUUCAACAUAUACACGUAUCCGGUUUGUGACUUAGAGUCAUCCAGAUCUGAGUCGAAGCUAGCGUCGACGUAACCCUUUACGACGAGCUCUUCGUCCCCUCCAUAAACGAGAAACAUGUCCUUCGUCCUUUUUAGGUACUUCAGGAUAUUCUUGACCGCUGUCCAGUGUUCCUUGCCGGGAUUACUUUGGUAUCUUGCAACCAAACUUACGGCAAGGUUUACAUCGGGUCUGGUACACAGCAUGGCAUACAUAAUAGAUCCUAUGGCUGAAGCAUAGGGGAUGACACUCAUCUCUUCUUUAUCUUUUGCCGUGGUCGGUGACUGAGCUGAGCUCAAUUUCACACCUUGUAACAUAGGCAAGAACCCCUUCUUGGACUGAUCCAUUUUGAACCUCUUCAAAAUCUUAUCAAGGUAUGUGCUUUGUGAAAGACCUAUGAGGCGUCUCGAUCUAUCUCUAUAGAUUUUGAUGCCUAAUAUAUAAGCAGCUUCUCCAAGGUCCUUCAUUGAAAAACACUUGUUCAAGUAGGCCUUAAUGCUGUCCAGGAGUUUCGUAUCAUUUCCCAUCAAGAGUAUGUCAUCUACAUAUAACAGGAGAAAUGCUACAGAGCUCCCACUCACUUUCUUGUAAACACAGGCUUCUCCAUAAGUCUGCAUAAACCCAAACGCUUUGAUCAUCUCAUCAAAGCGAAUGUUCCAACUCCGAGAUGCUUGCACCAGCCCAUAAAUGGAUCGCUGGAGCUUGCAUACUUUGUUAGCGUUCUGAGGAUCGACAAAACCUUCCGGCUGCAUCAUAUACAGCUCUUCCUUAAGAUGUCCGUUAAGGAAUGCCGUUUUGACGUCCAUCUGCCAUAUCUCAUAAUCAUAGUAUGCGGCAAUUGCUAACAUGAUUCGGACGGACUUAAGCUUCGCUACGGGAGAGAAUGUCUCGUCGUAGUCAAUCCCUUGAACUUGUCGAUAACCCUUAGCGACAAGUCGAGCUUUAUAAAUGGUAACAUUACCAUCCGCGUCCGUCUUCUUCUUAAAAAUCCAUUUGUUUUCUAUCGCUCGCCGAUCAUCGGGCAAGUCUGUCAAAGUCCAUACUUUGUUUUCAUACAUGGAUUCUAUCUCGGAUUUCAUGGCCUCAAGCCAUUUGUUGGAAUCCGGGCCCGCCAUCGCUUCUUCAUAGUUCGAAGGUUCAUUGUUGUCUAACAACAUGAUUUCCAUGACAGGGUUGCCGUACCACUCUGGUGCGGAACGUGUCCUUGUGGACCUUCGAAGUUCAGUAGCAACUUGAUCCGAAGUACCUUGAUCAUCAUCAUUGUUUUCCUCUUCAGUUGGUGUGGGCAUCACAGGAACGGUUUCCUGCGCUGCACCACCUUCCCGUUCGAGAGGUAGUACUUCAUCGAGUUCUACUUUCCUCCCACUUACUUCUUUCGAGAGAAACUCUUUUUCCAGAAAGCAUCCGUCCUUGGCAACAAAGAUCUUGCCUUCGGAUCUUAAGUAGAAGGUAUACCCGACAGUUUCCUUAGGGUAUCCUAUGAAUACGCAUUUUUCCGACUUGGGUUCGAGCUUUUCAGGUUGAAGUUUCUUGACAUAAGCAUCGCAUCCCCAAACUUUUAGAAACGACAGCUUAGGUUUCUUCCCAAACCAUAAUUCAUACGGUGUCGUCUCAACGGAUUUAGACGGCGCCCUAUUUAAAGUGAAUGUAGCUGUCUCUAGAGCGUAUCCCCAAAAUGAUAGCGGUAUAUCGGUACGAGACAUCAUAGACCGCACCAUAUCCAAUAGAGUGCGAUUACGACGUUCGGACACACCGUUUCGCUGAGGUGUUCCAGGCGGCGUGAGUUGUGAAACGAUUCCACAAUUCCUUAAGUGUGUGCCAAACUCGUGACUUAAGUAUUCUCCCCCACGAUCUGAUCGUAGGAACUUUAUCUUUCGGUCACGUUGAUUCUCUACUUCACUCUGAAAUUCCUUGAACUUUUCAAAGGUCUCAGACUUGUGUUUCAUUAAGUAGACAUACCCAUAUCUACUUAAGUCAUCAGUGAGAGUGAGAACAUAACGAUAUCCUCCGCGAGCCUCAACGCUCAUUGGACCGCACAUAUCAGUAUGUAUGAUUUCCAACAAGUUGGUUGCUCGCUCCAUUGUUCCGGAGAACGGAGUCUUGGUCAUUUUGCCCAAGAGGCAUGGUUCACAUGUGUCAAACGAUUCAUAAUCAAGAGACUCUAAAAGUCCAUCAGCAUGGAGCUUCUUCAUGCGCUUGACACCAAUGUGACCAAGGCGGCAGUGCCACAAGUAUGUGGGACUAUCGUUAUCAACUUUACAUCUUUUGGCAUUCACACUAUGAACAUGUGUAAUAUUACGCUCGAGAUUCAUUAAGAAUAAACCAUUGACCAUUGGAGCAUGACCAUAAAACAUAUCUCUCAUAUAAAUCGAACAACCAUUAUUCUCAGACUUAAAUGAGUAGCCAUCUCGUAUCAAACGAGAUCCAGAUACAAUGUUCAUGCUCAAACUUGGCACUAAAUAACAAUUAUUAAGGUUCAAAACUAAUCCCGUAGGUAAAUGUAGAGGCAGCGUGCCGACGGCGAUCACAUCGACUCUGGAACCAUUCCCGACACGCAUCGUCACCUCGUCCUUCGCCAGUCUCCGUUUAUUCCGUAGCUCCUGCUGUGAGUUACAAAUAUGAGCAACGGCACCGGUAUCAAAUACCCAGGAGUUACUACGAGUACUGGUAAGGUACACAUCAAUUACAUGUAUAUCAAAUAUACCUUUGGUGUUGCCGGCCUUCUUAUCCGCUAAGUAUUUGGGGCAGUUCCGCUUCCAGUGACCCUUCCCCUUGUAAUAAAAGCACUCAGUCUCAGGCUUGGGUCCAUUCUUUGACUUCUUCCCGGCAACAGGCUUACCGGGCGCGGCAACAUCUUUGCCGUCCUUCUUGAAGUUCUUUUUACCCUUGCCCUUCUUGAACUUAGUGGUCUUAUUGACCAUCAACACUUGAUGUUCUUUCUUGAUUUCAGCCUCUGCUGACUUCAGCAUCGAGAACACUUCAGGAAUGGUCUUUUCCAUCCCCUGCAUGUUGUAGUUCAUCACAAAGCUCUUGUAGCUUGGUGGGAGCGACUGGAGGAUUCUGUCAAUGACCGCCUCAUCUGGGAGGUUAAUGUUCAACUGGGUCAUACGAGCGUGCAAUCCAGACAUCUUCAGGAUGUGCUCACUGACAGAACUGUUCUCCUCCAUCUUACAACUGUAGAACUUGUCGGAGACAUCAUAUCUCUCGACCCGGGCAUGAGCUUGGAAAACUAGUUUCAGCUCUUCGAACAUCUCAUAUGCUCCGUGAUGCUCAAAACGCUUUUGGAGCCCCGGUUCUAAGCUGUAGAGCAUGCCGCACUGAACGAGGGAGUAAUCAUCAGCACAAGAUUGCCAAGCGUUCAUAACGUCUUGGUUCUCUGGGACGGGAGCGUCACCUAGCGGUUCGUCUAGGACAUAUUGCUUCCUGGCAGCUAUGAGGAUGAUCCUCAGGUUCCGGACCCAGUCCGUAUAGUUGUUGCCAUCAUCUUUCAGCUUGGUUUUCUCUAGGAACGCGUUGAAGUUCAUGUUGACAUUAGCGUUGGCCAUUGAUCUACAAGACAUAUUUGCAAAGGUUUUUAGACUAAGUUCAUGAUAAUAAAGUUCUAAUCAAAUUAUGAACUCCCACUUAGAUUAGACAUCCCUCUAGUCAUCUAAGUGUUACACGAUCCGAGUCGACUAGCCCGUGUCCGAUCAUCACGUGAGACGGACUAGUCAUCAUCGGUGAACAUCUUCAUGUUGAUCAUAUCUUCCAUACGACUCGUGUUCGACCUUUCGGUCUCCGUGUUCCGAGGCCAUGUCUGCACAUGCUAGGCUCGUCAAGUUAACCCUAAGUGUUUUCGCUGUGUAAAACUGUCUUACACCCGUUGUAUGUGAACGUAAGAAUCCAUCACACCCGAUCAUCACGUGGUGCUUAGAAGCAACGAACUGUAGCAACGGUGCACAGUUAGGGGAGAACACUUCUUGAAAUUUUGUAAGGGAUCAUCUUAUUUACUACCGUCGUCCUAAGUAAACAAGAUGCAUAAACAUAAUAAACAUCACAUGCAAUUAUAUAGUUGUGACAUGAUAUGGCCAAUAUCAUCAAGCUCCAUUGAUCUCCAUCUUCGGGGCUCCAUGAUCAUCUUGUCACCGGCUUGACACCAUGAUCUCCAUCAUCAUGAUCUCCAUCAUCGUGUCUUCAUGAAGUUGUCAUGCCAACGACUACUUCUACUUCUAUGACUAACGCGUUUAGUAAUGAAGUAAAGCAGUUUACAUGGCGUUCUUCAAUGACACGCAGGUCAUACAAAAAAUAAAGACAACUCCUAUGGCUCCUGCCGGUUGUCAUACUCAUCGACAUGCAAGUCGUGAAUCCUAUUACAAGAACAUGAUCUCAUACAUCACAAUUCAUCAUUCAUCACAACUUCUGGCCAUAUCACAUCACAUGAUCAAUCGCUGCAAAAACAAGUUAGACGUCCUCUAAUUGUUGUUGCAUCUUUUACGUGGCUGCGAUUGGGUUCUAGCAAGAACGUUUUCUUACCUACGAAUCACCACAACGUGAUUUUGUCAACUUCUAUUUACCCUUCAUAAGGGCCUUGUUCAUCGAAUCCGCUCCAACUAAAGUGGGAGAGACAGACACCCGCCAGCCACCUUAUGCAACUAGUGCAUGUCAGUCGGUGGAACCGGUCUCACGUAAGCGUACGUGUAAGGUUGGUCCGGGCCGCUUCAUCCCACAAUACCGUUGAGCAAGAAAAGACUAGUAGAGGCAAGUAAGAUGAGAAGAUCAACGCCCACAACCAAUUGUGUUCUACUCGUGCAUUAGAGAACUACGCAUAGACCUAGCUCAUGAUGCCACUGUUGGGGAACGUUGCAGAAAAUUAAAAUUUUUCCUACGUCUUCACCAAGAUCCAUCUAUGAGUUCAUCUAAGCAAUGAGUAACGGGAGAGAGUUUGCAUCUACAUACCACUUGUAGAUCGCAUGCGGAAGCUUGCAAGGUGAUGAUGGAGUCGUACUCGAACGUGAUUCAGAUCACCGAUGUCCAAGUGCUGAACGGACAGCACCUCCGCGUUCAACACACGUACGGGACGAGCGACGUCUCCUCCGUCUUGAUCCAGCAAGGAGGAAGGAGAGGUUGAGGAAGACAACUCCACUGGCAGCACGACGGCGUGGUGAUGGUGGAGAAGCAGUACUCCGACAGGGCUUCGCCGAGCUCUUACGGAGGAGGAGAAGUGUUGGGGAGGGGAGGGGCUGCGCCUUGGAGAUGGGUACAGCAGCCCCCCUCCCUCCCCCCCUUUAUAUAGGCCCCCUGGGGGGGGGUGGCCGGCCCCUGGAGAUCCAAUCUCCAGGGGGGGCGGCGGCCAAGGGGGGUGGAGUGCCCCCCAAGCCAGGUGGGGCGCCCCCCACCCCUAGGGUUUCAACCCUAGGCGCAGGGGGUGGGCCUAGGGGGGCGCACCAGCCCCCUGUGGGCUGGUUCCCUUCCCCCUUUGGCCCAUGGGGCCCUCCGGGAUAGGUGGCCCCACCCGGUGGACCCCCGGGACCCUUCCGGUGGUCCCGGUACUUUACCGGGAGACCCCGAAACUUUCCCGAUGGCCGAAUCACCACUUCCUAUAUAUUAUUCUUUACCUCCGGACCCUUCCGGAACUCCUCGUGACGUCCAGGAUCUCAUCCGGGACUCCGAAAAACAUUCGGUAGUCACAUACUUGACUUCCUACUAACCCUAGCGUCACCGAACCUUAAGUGUGUAGACCCUACGGGUUCGGGAGACACGCAGACAUGACCGAGACGACUCUCGGGCAAUAACCAACAGCGGGGUCUGGAUACCCAUGUUGGCUCCCACAUGCUCCUCGAUGAUUUCAUCGGUUGAACCACGAUGUCGAGGAUUCGAUCAAACCCUGUAUGCAAUUCCCUUUGUCAAUCGGUACGUUACUUGCCCGAGACUCGAUCGUCGGUAUCCCAAUACCUUGUUCAGUCUCGUUACCGGCAAGUCACUUUACUCGUACCGUAAUGCAUGAUCCCGUGGCCAACACCUUGGUCAACUUGAGCUCAUUAUGAUGAUGCAUUACCGAGUGGGCCCAGAGAUACCUCUCCGUCAUACGGAGUGACAAAUCCCAGUCUCGAUCCGUGUCAACCCAACAGAUACUUU
This 8268-nucleotide long non-coding RNA is filed under the name Triticum aestivum (bread wheat). RNAcentral describes it as "long non-coding RNA (TAES_LNC016357)". The record is from RNAcentral. Lineage: Eukaryota; Viridiplantae; Streptophyta; Magnoliopsida; Poales; Poaceae.